RNAcentral lists this ribosomal RNA (901 nucleotides) under uncultured bacterium. RNAcentral describes it as "bacterial SSU rRNA". It matches the Rfam family "Bacterial small subunit ribosomal RNA", at positions 33 to 925 of the family's 1533-position model. The record is from RNAcentral.
ACGCUGGCGGCGUGCUUAACACAUGCAAGUCGAACGAAAAUACCAAGCUUGCUUGGUUGAUUAGUGGCGAACGGGUGAGUAACACGUGAGUAACCUGCCCCUUACUUUCCUGGAUAACUGCUCGAAAGGGUAGCUAAUACGGGAUAUUCUGACCAUCCUGCAUGGGUUGGUUUGGAAAGGUUGUUUUUCUGGUAAGGGAUGGGCUCGCGGCCUAUCAGCUUGUUGGUGGGGUGAUGGCCUACCAAGGCUUUGACGGGUAGCCGGCCUGAGAGGGUGGACGGUCACACUGGGACUGAGAUACGGACCAGACUCCUACGGGAGGCAGCAGUGGGGAAUAUUGCACAAUGGGCGCAAGCCUGAUGCAGCGACGCCGCGUGAGGGAUGAAGGCCUUCGGGUUGUAAACCUCUUUCGUCAGGGAACAAGGCACUGCUUUGGUGGUGUUGAGGGUACCUGGAUAAGAAGCGCCGGCUAACUACGUGCCAGCAGCCGCGGUAAUACGUAGGGCGCAAGCGUUGUCCGGAAUUAUUGGGCGUAAAGAGCUCGUAGGCGGCUGGUCGCGUCUGUCGUGAAAACUUCCGGCUCGACCGGGGGCUUGCGGUGGGUACGGGCCGGCUAGAGUGCGGUAGGGGUAACUGGAACUCCUGGUGUAGCGGUGGAAUGCGCAGAUAUCAGGAAGAACACCGAUGGCGAAGGCAGGUUACUGGGCCGUUACUGACGCUGAGGAGCGAAAGCGUGGGGAGCGAACAGGAUUAGAUACCCUGGUAGUCCACGCCGUAAACGUUGGGCACUAGGUGUGAGGCUCCUUUCCGGGGGUUUUGCGCCGUAGCUAACGCAUUAAGUGCCCCGCCUGGGGAGUACGGCCGCAAGGCUAAAACUCAAAGGAAUUGACGGGGGCCCGCA